GGCUAUAGCUCAGUUGGUAGAGCGUUUCGUUUACACCGAAAAUGUCUACGGUUCGAAUCCGUA
This 63-nucleotide transfer RNA is filed under the name Picocystis salinarum. It matches the Rfam family "tRNA", at positions 3 to 63 of the family's 71-position model. Rfam says of the family: Transfer RNA (tRNA) molecules are approximately 80 nucleotides in length. Their secondary structure includes four short double-helical elements and three loops (D, anti-codon, and T loops). Lineage: Eukaryota; Viridiplantae; Chlorophyta; Picocystophyceae; Picocystales; Picocystaceae. The record is from RNAcentral.